GAAGGGGAUAACACCUGGAAACAGAUGCUAAUACCGUAUAACAACAAGAACCACAUGGUUCUUGUUUGAAAGCUGGCCUUUGUGCUAGUGCUUCUGGAUGGACCCGCGGCGUAUUAGCUAGUUGGUGAGAUAAUAGCUCACCAAGGCAAUGAUACGUAGCAGACCUGAGAGGGUAAUCUGCCACAAUGGGACUGAGACACGGCCCAUACUCCUACGGGAGGCAGCAGUAGGGAAUCUUCCACAAUGGACGAAAGUCUGAUGGAGCAACGCCGCGUGAGUGAAGAAGGGUUUCGGCUCGUAAAACUCUGUUGUUAGAGAAGAACAGCCGUGAGAGCAACUGCUCACGGUAUGACGGUAUCUAACCAGAAAGUCACGGCUAACUACGUGCCAGCAGCCGCGGUAAUACGUAGGUGGCAAACGUUGUCCGGAUUUAUUGGGCGUAAAGGGAGCGCAGGCGGUUUAUUAAGUCUGAUGUGAAAGCCUUCGGCUUAACCGGAGAAGUGCAUCGGAAACUGAUAAACUUGAGUGCAGAAAAGGAUAGUGGAACUUCAUGUGUAGCGGUGAAAUGCGUAGAUAUAUGAAGGAACACCAGUGGCGAAGGCGGCUAUCUGGUCUGUAACUGACGCUGAGGCUCGAAAGCAUGGGUAGCAAACAGGAUUAGAUACCCUGGUAGUCCAUGCCGUAAACGAUGAAUGCUAGGUGUUGGAAGGUUUCCGCCUUUCAGUGCCGCAGCUAACGCAUUAAGCAUUCCGC
This 753-nucleotide ribosomal RNA is filed under the name Fructilactobacillus sanfranciscensis. RNAcentral describes it as "bacterial SSU rRNA". It matches the Rfam family "Bacterial small subunit ribosomal RNA", at positions 136 to 872 of the family's 1533-position model. The record is from RNAcentral. Lineage: Bacteria; Bacillati; Bacillota; Bacilli; Lactobacillales; Lactobacillaceae.